This is a long non-coding RNA of Dasypus novemcinctus (nine-banded armadillo), 3928 nucleotides long. Lineage: Eukaryota; Metazoa; Chordata; Mammalia; Cingulata; Dasypodidae. The record is from Ensembl.
UGGAACUGCAGGGUCCUGUGCAGUUGUCACCUGACGCUGGAGGAACUGCCGCGCUGCUCCCCACAGGCUGUGCCACCAGCGCCCGAGCCCCACUUCUCCGUCACAACCUCCUGGUGGGGUGACGGGCCUCGCUGUGGCUUUGGUUUGCAUUUCCCCAGGGGCGAGCGAGGUUGAGCACCGAUCCUUGUGUUUGCCCUUCAAGUGUCCUUUGGAGAAAGGUCUGCUCCAGUCCCGUUCCUGGUUUCUGCGGGGUCUUGUCUUGUUGGUGUUGAGCCGGGCGAGUCCCCUUAGGUCCUGGGUGCUGGGCUCUCACCCGGCACACGGCUUCUAACUGCAUCUUCCACCCGGUGCACUUCCUCUUCCCCUUUUUUUUAAUGUUAAUUUUUUUUAUCCCCCGCCCCCCAUUAUCUGCUCUCUCUGGCCAUUCGCUCUGUGUUCUUCUGUGACCGCUCAUAGUCUUGUCAGCGGCACUGGGAAUCUGUUUCUUUUUUUUUGUUGUGUCAGCUCUCCGUGUGGGCGGCGCCAUUCCUGGGCAGGCUGCACUUUCUUUCGCGCUGGGCGGCUCUCCCUAAGGGGCGCACUCCUUGCUCGUGGGGCUCCCCUACGCGGGGGACACCCCUGCGUGGCACGGCACUCCUUGUGCGCAUCAGCACUGCAUGUGGGCCAGCUCCACACAGGUCAAGGAGGCCUGGGGUUUGAACCCUGGACCCCCAUGUGGUAGACGGACGCUCAGUUGAGCCUUGUCCGCUUCCCCCUCUUUUUCUUGAUGACGCCCUUUGGUGAACCAAUUUUAAGGUCUGGGGAGGCCACGUCUCUCAGACUUCCUCUCGUUGCUCCUGCUUGUGGCGUCCCGUCUAAGAACCAGCGCCAAGCCCGCUCACGAGCUGUCCUGCUUCCUUCCGCGCUCUUGGCUCUUGGCAGCGCUUGGCCCUGGGUCUGCUCUGAGCCAUUUUUGUACCUGGUGCAGAGGCCCGACCUGGUCCUUUGGCGGCGAGCGUCCUGGAGUGGGUGGGCGCCUGCCUGCCAGCAGCGGUCCAGGGCCCUCGGGCCGCUUCCGCCGCCUCCGGGGAUGCGCUGGGCCCCGGAAGGGCUGGGAGUGGCCGCGGCGGGGGCUGGGCUCAUUGGCCUUGGCUCCCGGGGCUCUGCUGCCAGCAGGCCGGAGCCUGGGUGUGUCCCUCGCCCUCCGCGUCCCCUCACUGCCCUGCAUCCCCGCCCUGCGUCCCUCGCCCCCCGCGUCCCUCGCCCCUGCGUCCCCUCGGUCACCCCAGCCAGCGGGUGGUCCCCAGCCCUCUGCUGCGCAGUGGGCUCCGGCCUGGGCUCUGCACUGCCCUCGGGACUCUGGCCCGCCCAGGGGGUCUGCGCAGUGAGGCCGCGCGGCCCUUGCGCCACCCACAGUCCUUUCCUCACUGGAGUCUCGUGCCCAGUUGCUCUCCCAGUCAGACUGAAGGUUCUAAUUAACCAGGAAACUCUUGUUGGGAAACCCGUCAAUUUUCUGAACACCUCGUGGGCUUUGCCUCUCUUUCCUCGCUGGUUUNNNNNNNNNNNNNNNNNNNNNNNNNNNNNNNNNNNNNNNNNNNNNNNNNNNNNNNNNNNNNNNNNNNNNNNNNNNNNNNNNNNNNNNNNNNNNNNNNNNNNNNNNNNNNNNNNNNNNNNNNNNNNNNNNNNNNNNNNNNNNNNNNNNNNNNNNNNNNNNNNNNNNNNCCAGGCGGGGGCCAGGGACCACGGGGCGGCCUCGUGGGUGCAGCCGGUGGUCACAGCACCAAGGGCCAGGGAGGGACGGUCCCCGGAGCAGGGCCUGGCCCCAGCGCGGCCCCGAGUGCGAGGCGCACAGAGCAUUCCUGAACUGGAGGCAGUGGGGGGCGCUUCCGGGCGAGCACCCAGCUCAGCAGCCGAGGGUCAAGAGAGACCCCCCAGGACAGGCCUCUGCAUGGAGAGCAGCCCCCGGGGCUGUCCAGUGGGCCUGACGCCCGCAGCGAGGGGGCAGCUUCACCCCUGGAGAGCGCCAGUGCCAGGGGCAUCGGGGCGGGCGCCAGCCACGCGGGACAUGCCAGCCACGCGGCGAUGCUCCGGCACUUUCUCAUGCCAGCGAGGAAGGCGGCCCGCCGGUGGGCGCCGCGUGCCUAGCGUCCGAGGCCGUGCUGGACGGCGGCACCCGGGCAGGAGACGGGACGGGCGGCGUGGCCCGGCACCCCGCGGCCGGCCCCUCCGAGGGCGUCCUGCAGUGUUUGUCCUGGUGCCCGCGCGCCUGCCGAGCAGCGCUUUCACGGAAAGGUCCUGGCUGCAGCAGGACGCUGGGUGCUGCCCGCGGGGGCCGGGGCGGGGGCGGGCGCCGCUGGGCCCCUCAGGCUCUGCAGGCCCCGCGCCCUGUGCUGGCUCGGUCCCGGGCGGGGAGGAGGCGGGCUACUGCCCGCAUGCCGCCUGAGCUGCCCCGUGGCCGGAAGCCCCUCUCGCCCCGCAGCCCGGGGUCUGCACCGAGGGUCUGGGCUGCAGGGAGCCCUGUGCGCGCCCGGCUGCUGGGCAGGGGGCGCCCCACUGCUCUGGAAGCGACUUCGAGGCGGCUGCAGCGCGACACGAGGCUGGAGCGGUCCCUCCUGGCUGCGGGCUGGGGGAUUCAAUGACAGGCCGUGCCAGCCCCCCUGCCCCCACCUCCUGGUGCGUCGGGGCUCCCCGGGGGGUCCUCUCUGCGUGCGUUGCCCCCCGCCCCUUUGGGGAGGAAGUGCUCGGCCGGAUCCUUGGCUGUGGACCACCCGGCCCCUCGGCCACGCGCCGUUGCUGCGUUUGUUCUGCUGUUUCCUUUGCUCACCGGCUGGCGGCGGCUUCCUCACGACACGGCCUGCACCCCCACACUCCAGGGUGUCCCCGAGCCCUCCGGGGCUUGUCUCCUGCUGGUUACCCCACAGGGUUUCGGGGUGCUGAGGCGGACCCUCGCCCCACAGGUGGCGCGCUGGCCUCCGUCCGGGGAGCUGUGGCUGUCGGCCGCCCGGGGGACUCGCGGGAGAGCACGUGGCGGCCAGCAGCACGAGGGGCCGCAGUUCCACGAGCGCUUCCUGCGCUGUCCUGGAGGGACGCGGGGUUCUGGGUCCCUUGGGCCUGGGUCUCCAGCAGCCUCUGGUGCCCGGUAGAGCCGGGGGGGCGCGGUCGCGGUGGCGGCGCCUCCGGCUCCUGCAGUCACGGUCCAGCUUGGGCGCGACGCCCUGGAGGGGCUUUCACAGGACGGGCCUGCAGUGCCCGGGGGUUUUGGUAACUGUCAGCCGCCCCGGGAGCGCGCAGCCUGGCAGCGGGAACCCCGUGGAGCUGGGACGGGGCGGCCCGCGGCCCUGCGUGCGGCUCCUGGAGCAGGGUGUGCGGUGGGCGAGCGAGGGCAGCCUGGGCCAGCGAGGCGAGCAGUGCCCGCGCCAGUGCGUGCCCCCGUCCACUGCGCUGCCCGCAGGGCUCGGCCGCCAGGUGGGCGCCCGGUGCAAAGCCUCAGGGACUGGGGACGUGGUCCCUGUGCCCGGCCUGGUGGCUCCGGGGCCUCUUCGGGGGCUGCUUCCGAACGCUGCGUGUCCCAGGCCCUGCCCCAGCCCAGCGCGGGAGCCUCAGGCCGGGACGAUGUGCUGGCGGCUCGCCCCGAGCCCUGGCUGCCCCAGCCCCGGCCGUCCUGGAGCGCGGCGGCCUGAGCCGUCACCCCUGCCCUGGCCUGAGCCGCCCCCUUCCGGGCCCUGACGCGAGGUCCCCAGGCCAGGACCCCUCCGGCUGCCUGAGCUUCGGGCAGACCGCCCCCCACGGCUGCACCGGGGCCUGUGCUUGAGGGGGGGGCAGCCCCGACAACCCCGGCGACCGUGCAACACGGGAUUCCUCAGCGGGGCCCUCGCACCCCAGGAGGCCACCCCGGGGCCGCGCCGCACCUCCUCCCUUGUGAAGGGGCAUGGGGCGGCCUCUCCGUUCA